Molecule: ribosomal RNA, 1192 nt
Filed under: Lactobacillus sp.
Lineage: Bacteria; Bacillati; Bacillota; Bacilli; Lactobacillales; Lactobacillaceae
Description: bacterial SSU rRNA
Rfam family: Bacterial small subunit ribosomal RNA
Source: RNAcentral
GGGGGGAAGGUUUUUUUUAUGUUAGAUCGGGCUAUACAUGCAAGUCGAACGAGUUUGCUAUUAAUGAAGGCGGUGCUUGCACCAACUGAUUUAAAAAUAAACGAGUGGCGGACGGGUGAGUAACACGUGGGUAACCUACCCUAAAGUGGGGGAUAACAUUUGGAAACAGAUGCUAAUACCGCAUAAUAUUAAAAACCACAUGGUUUUUAAUUGAAAGACGGCGUAAGCUGUCACUUUUGGAUGGACCCGCGGCGUAUUAGCUAGUUGGUGAGGUAACGGCUCACCAAGGCGAUGAUACGUAGCCGACCUGAGAGGGUGAUCGGCCACAUUGGGACUGAGACACGGCCCAAACUCCUACGGGAGGCAGCAGUAGGGAAUCUUCCACAAUGGACGAAAGUCUGAUGGAGCAACGCCGCGUGAGUGAAGAAGGUUUUCGGAUCGUAAAACUCUGUUAUUGGAGAAGAACGUAUUUGGUAGUAACUGGCCAGAUAGUGACGGUAUCCAAUCAGAAAGCCACGGCUAACUACGUGCCAGCAGCCGCGGUAAUACGUAGGUGGCAAGCGUUGUCCGGAUUUAUUGGGCGUAAAGCGAGUGCAGGCGGUUUUUUAAGUCUGAUGUGAAAGCCUUCGGCUUAACCGAAGAAAUGCAUUGGAAACUGGGAAACUUGAGUGCAGAAGAGGAGAGUGGAACUCCAUGUGUAGCGGUGAAAUGCGUAGAUAUAUGGAAGAACACCAGUGGCGAAGGCGGCUCUCUGGUCUGUAACUGACGCUGAGGCUCGAAAGCGUGGGUAGCAAACAGGAUUAGAUACCCUGGUAGUCCACGCCGUAAACGAUGAGUGCUAAGUGUUGGAGGGUUUCCGCCCUUCAGUGCUGCAGCUAACGCAUUAAGCACUCCGCCUGGGGAGUACGACCGCAAGGUUGAAACUCAAAGGAAUUGACGGGGGCCCGCACAAGCGGUGGAGCAUGUGGUUUAAUUCGAAGCAACGCGAAAAACCUUACCAGGUCUUGACAUCUAGCGCCAAUCCUAGAAAUAGGAAGUUCCCCUCGGGGACGCUAAGAACGGUGGGGGCAGGGUUGUCGUCAACUCGUGUCGUGAGAAGUUGGGUUAAGUCCCGCCACCAAGCGCAACCCUUAUUAUCAGUUGCCAGCAUUCAGUUGGGAGCUCCUGGGGAAAACGGCCGGGGAAAAAACCG